CAUAAUUGAAUAUCACUUGAGGAUUUAAGGUAGGGUUAGAAAUAUAUCUAACAUCUCCUCCACCCGGAGCCCAUGUAUCAUAAACACCGCCAAAGAAUAAAGAUUUGAACACUAAUAAGAAGGCACCUACUCCUAAAAGAAUCGGGUGAAUUCCAAUAAUUGUUGUCAUUUUAUUCUUAUCACGCCA
Molecule: antisense RNA, 187 nt
Filed under: Rhodosorus marinus
Lineage: Eukaryota; Rhodophyta; Stylonematophyceae; Stylonematales; Stylonemataceae
Description: Antisense RNA which regulates isiA expression
Rfam family: Antisense RNA which regulates isiA expression
Source: Rfam by way of RNAcentral